AAAAGAGAUAGAGGUUGCGUUUUUCAUUAGUACUUUCUAGGAGACGACAGGCGUCUGUGAACAGAGAGGAAAGGGGAAUACGCCGAAAGAGGAGGCUUCCUGGGAGCGUCUUGCUUGGGCAUGCAGUGAAGAACUGUAUGACUGUCAUCGACAGAUGGGGAGCUAUCAUUUAU
Regulatory RNA element from Roseburia sp. CAG:100, 173 nucleotides. It matches the Rfam family "Lysine riboswitch aptamer". Rfam says of the family: Riboswitches are metabolite binding domains within certain messenger RNAs that serve as precision sensors for their corresponding targets. Allosteric rearrangement of mRNA structure is mediated by ligand binding, and this results in modulation of gene expression. This family includes riboswitches that sense lysine in a number of genes involved in lysine metabolism, including lysC. Lineage: Bacteria; Bacillati; Bacillota; Clostridia; Lachnospirales; Lachnospiraceae. The record is from Rfam.